CGAAAUGCAACAUAGCUUACAGGUUAAUAUCAAGAUGAACACGAGUGAAUUCUAAUUUGUAUUUGGCAUGCAGAAACGUCAGAGACAAUGAUGCAACUAAGCAGUAUUUUGUUGUAUCUUUAUGUCUACUCAUCUGUUUCAAUCGCCGUGUCGUCGUCGUUUGUGAAUUAUACGCCCGGAUAUGAAUACCUGUAUACCCUCACAUCAACCAUAGAACUGAGAGGAGUACACACAUUCCUCGCAAAUGGAAAGAUUGGUUUUGUCAACAUUGCAGACAAUGAUAAUUUCCAAGAGCUACUACUAAUUGUGCAUGACCUGACAUUCAGCCCCAAAGCUCACUCGG
This is a long non-coding RNA of Mercenaria mercenaria, 343 nucleotides long. RefSeq lists it as uncharacterized. Lineage: Eukaryota; Metazoa; Mollusca; Bivalvia; Venerida; Veneridae. The transcript is spliced from 3 exons. The record is from RefSeq and is a predicted model, not a curated record.